AAAAAACCUACUGCAAAUUAUGGCAGAAAUUAAAAUAAUACUAUUGAGUUAUAAAAAGAAUCAUAUUAUAUCUAUGUAUAACUAAAAAUAAAUAAUGUUAUUUACACAUUUACAAAAAAUAUAAAAAAUUUAAAUACAAGAUAAUCAAAUAUUUUUCAAUUCUAUUAAAUAUAUGAUUCUUUUUUAUUGUAAUUGUUUGAAUUUAAAAAAAUUAAAGUCAAU
Molecule: long non-coding RNA, 222 nt
Filed under: Lathyrus oleraceus (garden pea)
Lineage: Eukaryota; Viridiplantae; Streptophyta; Magnoliopsida; Fabales; Fabaceae
Description: Pisum sativum (pea) long non-coding RNA (PSAT_LNC028303)
Source: RNAcentral